AGGGUUAUAGUUAAUUAUAACAUUUGAAUUGCACUCAAAAAGUACUGAAAUAAAUUUAGUUAACCUUA
This 68-nucleotide transfer RNA is filed under the name Kuwayamaea brachyptera. RNAcentral describes it as "tRNA-Ala". It matches the Rfam family "tRNA". From Rfam's summary of the family: Transfer RNA (tRNA) molecules are approximately 80 nucleotides in length. Their secondary structure includes four short double-helical elements and three loops (D, anti-codon, and T loops). RNAcentral also lists the same sequence under 1 other name. The record is from RNAcentral. Lineage: Eukaryota; Metazoa; Arthropoda; Insecta; Orthoptera; Tettigoniidae.